UCCAAAACUCACUCGGAAGUGGAUACGUUUUUCCCGCUUCCUCUACGAGACUCACCAUUUCCUAAGUUAUUUUCAGCCAACAAUUAGCUACAGGAAAUCAGUUCCAGAUCUAUCCAGCCUACCAUGUCUGAACCAGGUUCUGGUUGUGGUGUUCCAGCCCAGAGAAGCCCACAGCGGGGUCCAGAGUUGUGUCAGUGACGCUGGGGACUGCAGUCAAACAGUGGAACUCAAUGUGAUUGUCAAAGAGGAGGAGGAGGAGAGAGAAAUCAAUGAGCGGGAGGAGGAAGAGAGAGAGGAGGACAGGGACUCUGUUGACUCAGGAGAGAUCCCCAACCCAGACACCGUCAACAAGCCCAGUUCCACAGCAUCAAGACUACCUGGGCAUGGGAGUUACUCGUGUCCUCAAUGUGAGAAGAGUUUCAGUUCCUCA
Molecule: non-coding RNA, 430 nt
Organism: Salvelinus sp. IW2-2015
Lineage: Eukaryota; Metazoa; Chordata; Actinopteri; Salmoniformes; Salmonidae
Source: RefSeq, a predicted model, not a curated record